GCCUGGGUGGCUCAGUCAGUGAAGCGUCUGACUUCAGCUCAGGUCUGAUUUUGCAGUUUGUGGGUUUGAGACCCACAUCGGGCU
RNAcentral lists this transfer RNA (84 nucleotides) under Felis catus (domestic cat). It matches the Rfam family "tRNA". Rfam says of the family: Transfer RNA (tRNA) molecules are approximately 80 nucleotides in length. Their secondary structure includes four short double-helical elements and three loops (D, anti-codon, and T loops). Further hydrogen bonds mediate the characteristic L-shaped molecular structure. tRNAs have two regions of fundamental functional importance: the anti-codon, which is responsible for specific mRNA codon recognition, and the 3' end, to which the tRNAs corresponding amino acid is attached (by aminoacyl-tRNA synthetases). tRNAs cope with the degeneracy of the genetic code in two manners: having more than one tRNA (with a specific anti-codon) for a particular amino acid; and 'wobble' base-pairing, i.e. permitting non-standard base-pairing at the 3rd anti-codon position. Lineage: Eukaryota; Metazoa; Chordata; Mammalia; Carnivora; Felidae. The record is from Rfam by way of RNAcentral.